AUGCAACCUGCCCCACGCAGGGAAGAGCCGCCGAAGGCGGAUUAAUGCCCAUAGGCCCAGGGCGCCGCAUGGCGCUAUGGGUAAAGCUCCGGCGGAUGGGGAUGGGCAUGCGUGCCAUUAGCUAGUUGGGCGGUAACGGCGCACCAAGGCGACGAUGGCUAGGGGGUCUGAGAGGAUGGUCCCCCACACUGGUACUGAGACACGGACCAGACUCCUACGGGAGGCAGCAGUGAGGAAUAUUGGUCAAUGGGCGGAAGCCUGAACCAGCCCAUGCCGCGUGCAGGAUGACGGCCCUACGGGUUGUAAACUGCUUUUCCCCGGGAAGAAUAAGCCCCUCGUGAGGGGUGAUGCCGGUACCGGGGGAAUAAGGAUCGGCUAACUCCGUGCCAGCCGCUGC
Molecule: ribosomal RNA, 397 nt
Filed under: uncultured bacterium
Lineage: Bacteria
Description: bacterial SSU rRNA
Rfam family: Bacterial small subunit ribosomal RNA
Source: RNAcentral